Molecule: RNA transcript, 3975 nt
Organism: Haliaeetus leucocephalus (bald eagle)
Lineage: Eukaryota; Metazoa; Chordata; Aves; Accipitriformes; Accipitridae
Gene name: sodium-dependent lysophosphatidylcholine symporter 1-B-like
Exons: 10
Source: RefSeq, a predicted model, not a curated record
UGCUCCAGCCACUUUGGUUGUCCGCUCCAGGUUUCGCACGCUGGUUCUUUGCAGCUGUUGGUUGCUGGUGGCGAGGCGGGAGUCCUGGGGUGGCUCAAGAGUGUUCCUGCGGUGGUCUGGAGCUCAGGCAAAGGACUUCUCCACACCCCUAACAUCUCAGUGUGGCAGCAGCAGCUCUGGGAUGGGGAGGAAGCACUGGACCCAACUUCACCUUUGAAGAGCAUCAGAUUUAUCCGCUGGACUGCAGAGAGCCUGGAAGCUACUGCCCCAAGUACUUGCUGCACUGUGAGCCCUGCCAGAUUUCCUGCCUCCAUGGGCAGGGUCUGGCCACGCUCCUCCUACAGGGCCGGUCAUUUCUCCUCCAUCAGCUCCCUGUGGGUCCCCACAGAUGUUGUAUUUUCACUUGUCAAAUCUCCACCUAGCUCUGAUCUGCGCCUGCGGUGUGCUCUUUGACGUACAAGGCAACUUCUUCCUCAUCCUGGGUAAGGAAGCUUCUGUUUCCCCACCACGUGCCGCUGAAGGACACGGUCAUGUCUGCAGUCAUGCUUCCAAGUGGUAACGAAGAUGCUGAGCUGCACAGGUUAACCCAAGAAGGAGCAAUCCCACAGAGGAGAGUGGUCUGCAGAACGGUAAGACCAGUGUCCUAGGGUGGUUUUUUUGUCACAUGCAGAAAUGCAUUUCACAUGUGCACACUAAACCUCACAAGUGCGCACACCCACACAGAGCCUACCCGGAUCGAGCAGCCGCAGGCUGUGGGGGUGUUUCGAAGUGUUUAUGACUCAAGCUCAAGAACACAUUGUUAAAGCAAGGCUCUGCAUUUUGUUGUUGUUGCUGACUUUCAAGUGAAGUAGGCAGAGACGUGCAGAGUGCUGUCCUACCUGCUGAGAGCAUAAAGGGAACAAAAGCUGCCACAAAACCUUACAGCCAAGAGAGAUGCCUUUGUAAUUUUAGAAACAGAACUGCUGUGGAAACAAUAUGUUGUGUGAGUAAGUGCUCCUCGGUGGUGGUACAAGCCUAAUGCUUCAGCCAUCCCUGCAGGACAAGGUUGGUCUGCAAUUUGAAAUACAAGGGACCUGACUCUCGCUGUGUGCUGUAAAAGGCAGAAAGUAAAGUGGGACCAGAAGCUGAGAGGCACAAGCAGGCUGCUGUGGUUACCUGGCACAGGGAAAGCAGGCCCUCUGCUCCCCUGGAUGUGCAGGAAGAGGCUGGGCCCUCCAGCCUGGUGGGCACAGCAGCGUCAGUGGUUUUUCCAUGGCGUGGGCUGUGGAGGAGUUACUGCUAAUCGCUGCAUGAGGGAAACGCGCUCAGUGCCUUCUGGAAUGCUGCUUUUUGGGAUUGUGCCUCUGUUUUCAGAAGCUGCUCCCUAGUACCGUUACAAUGAAGGUCUGUCAUCCCUCAAGGGUGACUGUCAACUCAACUGAUGUUAGCGGCACAGCAAGCCAUCUCCAGCCCAAACAGACGGGGGAACCAACCAGCAGGUUGCCACCUCAUCCCACAGGAGAUGAGGGCAAGUGAGAGUUUGAAGCAAUCCCCAACUUGAUUUCCCUGUUACCCAGCUGUCGAUGUGACCCUGCAGUCUGUCCUGAGCUCAGGCCAGCCUCUUGCACAGCUGCCUCCAUGCCAAGUGUUCAUCCCUCCUCACUCCCUGCUCUUCUGCAGAGCUCUUCCUGGAGGAGCUCGCAGCCUUUUAUAGCCAUGUCUGGACCAGGCGCUUUGCCUGGGAUGGCCGUCUGCCCCGUGUGAGCCGGGGAGCCUUCUGCAUCUUUCCAGAAAGGGCUGUGUAUUUUUUGGUUGCAGGACAGCAACCCACCUGCUGCACUCCGAGCUGCGCUGGAGCUGCUCAGUGAUCGAGCAAGCCAAAACGUGGUGUAGACCAGGAACCCAAGAUGCUGACAAGCGUGUUAGUGUGUUAGCCCCAAGCAAGCUGCCCCAUCCAAGGCAGCCUGUGCUGAGAUGGGAGGUCAGCCCCAGUCUCCAGGCCUCUGCUUUCUAUGUGGUCUUACCCCAUAUUCUGCAGUAUACUCUUGGUCUUGUGUGAUGUAGAGGUGUAUCGUGCUAGACAGCAAGUUCAUUUCAGGGCUGUGAGGAAGUCAGUGCUGUAGGUUGCCUCUGGGAACUUGCCAGGUACUUGAGGCUUGGUACAGUAUUUACUAAAGCUAACCACAUCCAAAUAAAAUAGAGGCUUUGCCAUCAGCCCUUUUCCUGUGCGCUGAAACGCUCCUUGUGCUUCCCCUGUUGAUCUAUAGAAAUCCUCUGGGUUCUGGCCUUUGCAGUCUCUCUUCUUGGACUGCCUGCGUUACAGUCACUUUAAGCCUGAUGCAGUUUGUACUUUUUAAUAUUAAAGACCUUGAACCACUGAAUUGUGGCUCAAUAGAAUAGGAAAGGGCAACGUUAGACCAGCUCAGCUGAUAGCUCUGUCUCUGGCAUUAGAUACGCAUCUCAUUUACGUUAGCAGUCUGUGAUCUCAUGCAAACAUGCCUCUGAGGAGAAUCAAGGUGAAAUGCCAGGGAUGUGGCCCUGGUGACACGACAAGCUCAAGACAAGCAAAUGAGACAGAUGGCUGCUGAUCAGCUCUUGCCUUGGGGCUUUGGCUGGUCAAGGAGGGGAUGAGGGCUGGAGCAAGGAGACAGACUGUCGGCAUGCCCAACCCCUCGAAACUGCUGUGCAAGAGACCCUGAAGACUUAUGAAGAAUAUGAAACACCACUGAGCAGGACCUCAGGAGCCAGGCUGCUGCCCAAGGGCAGGUCGUGUGUAGGAAGCACUGCACCCUGACCCACCAAAAUUACCAGCAGAUGGGGAAGCACCCUACAGCACCCCAAUUGCCAUGACCACCUUGCUUGUCUGUAUCAGGUGGAGUGAUGUCCAGCCAAAGGACAGGAGAAGCCAGGACUGCCACUCUGCAGAAAGGUUUGCUAUGCUGUUGGGGGCAUUCCCUACCAGAUGACAGGCAACGCCCUUGGGUUUUUCCUCCAAAUCUUCCUAUUGGAUGUUGUGCAGCUGGAGCCAUUCCAUGUCUCUUUGAUCAUUUUCCUUGGAAGAGCCUGGGAUGCAGUUACUGACCCUGCUGUUGGCUUCCUGGUCAGCAAGAGCCCAAGGAGAAAAUAUGGCAAGCUGGUCCCAUGGAUCGCAUGCUCCAUGCCAUUUGGGGUGGUCUGCUACUGCAUGAUGUGGUCCACUCUCUCGGAUGCCACCCCCACCUCCCUGAAAUUCCUGUGGUACCUGUUGAUGUACAGCUUCUUCCAGACUUGCAUGACUUGCCACCACGUGCCGUACUCUUCCCUGACAAUGUUCCUGGGAGGAACCCAAAGAGACCGUGACUCGGCCACUGCCUACAGAAUGGGGAUGGAGGUGUUCAGCACGCUUCUUGGGUCAGGAAUCCAGGGGCAGAUUGUGGGCAGCUACCAUGCUCGCAUGAUGAACAGCUGUUACGUGUCAAAUGAGACCCUGCCCAACACCAGCACCUACAGCCUCACGGACUCGCUGGAGAACAUUCGUAGGGCCUAUGUAUUUGCAUCCCUGGUCCUGGGAUCAAUCUAUUGCCUGUCCUGUCUGAUUCUCAUCUUCGGAGUCAGGGAAGAGCCUGUUUGUGCUGGCAUCAUCUUGAUACCGCAGAGGAGAGGGGAGAUGCUCUGGAGGAAGGAAGGCUCCAGCUGCCUGGGAGAUCCUGUGGGGAGCCGUGGGCCUGGGACAGGGUCCGCAGCUCACUGCUUCACAUGGAGCAGGUCUCGCCAACACACAACCUGCAGAGCUACGCAGGCCAGCCCGAGUGCGCAGUGCAAAGAGGCAAAAUCCUGCCUGGCCCCUCAGCCCCCUGGGGAAGGUUGAGCUGCCCUUUGCCAGCUGCCUGAGGAUGAUUGUGGGACACAAGCCCUACACCCAACUGCUGUGUGGCUUCCUCUUUGCGUCCCUGGCCUUUCAGAUCACACAGGGGAUCUUUGCCUUCUUCUGUACUCAUGCCGCAGGGCUGGCCGGGA